RNAcentral lists this ribosomal RNA (514 nucleotides) under uncultured Entrophospora. RNAcentral's name for it is "SSU rRNA". It matches the Rfam family "Eukaryotic small subunit ribosomal RNA", at positions 569 to 1082 of the family's 1831-position model. The record is from RNAcentral. Lineage: Eukaryota; Fungi; Glomeromycota; Glomeromycetes; Entrophosporales; Entrophosporaceae.
AGCAGCCGCGGUAAUUCCAGCUCCAAUAGCGUAUAUUAAAGUUGUUGCAGUUAAAAAGCUCGUAGUUGAAUUUCGGGAUUGACGUGAUGGUCGUGCCUUAAGGGGUAUGAACUGUCGCAGUUGAUUUCUCACCUUCUGGAGAAGCAUGAUGUCCUUAAUUGGGUGUCAUGUGGAACCAGGACCUUUACCUUGAAAAAUUAGAGUGUUUAAAGCAGGCAUUUUGCUCGAAUACAUUAGCAUGGAAUAAUAGAAUAGGACGGCAUGGUUCUAUUUUGUUGGUUUCUAGGAUCACCGUAAUGAUUAAUAGGGAUAGUUGGGGGCAUUAGUAUUCAAUUGUCAGAGGUGAAAUUCUUGGAUUUAUUGAAGACUAACUACUGCGAAAGCAUUUGCCAAGGAUGUUUUCAUUAAUCAAGAACGAAAGUUAGGGGAUCGAAGACGAUCAGAUACCGUCGUAGUCUUAACCAUAAACUAUGCCGACUAGGAAUCAGACGAUGUUAAUUUUUAAUGUACUUCG